UCGCUACUACCGAUUGAACAUUUUAGUGAGUUGCGAGGAGUGGGGAUAGUCAGGCAACUGGCUAUACCUGCGAGAAGCUACAAACUUGGAUGUUUAGAGGAAGUAA
RNAcentral lists this ribosomal RNA (106 nucleotides) under uncultured eukaryote. Its description in RNAcentral is "partial small subunit ribosomal RNA". The record is from RNAcentral.